AUUGAACGCUGGCGGCAUGCCUUACACAUGCAAGUCGAGCGGCAGCGCGGGGGCAACCCUGGCGGCGAGCGGCGAACGGGUGAGUAAUACAUCGGAACGUGUCCAGUAGUGGGGGAUAACCAGUCGAAAGAUUGGCUAAUACCGCAUACGAUCUACGGAUGAAAGCGGGGGACCGCAAGGCCUCGCGCUAUUGGAGCGGCCGAUGUCGGAUUAGCUAGCUGGCGGGGUAAAAGCCCACUAAGGCGACGAUCCGUAGCUGGUCUGAGAGGACGAUCAGCAACACUGGAACUGAGACACGGUCCAGACUCCUACGGGAGGCAGCAGUGGGGAAUUUUGGACAAUGGGGGCAACACUGAUCCAGCCAUGCCGCGUGAGUGAAGAAGGCCUUCGGGUUGUAAAGCUCUUUCGGCGGGGACGAAACGGUUUGCGCCAACACCGCAAACUAAUGACGGUACUCGCAGAAGAAGCACCGGCUAACUACGUGCCAGCCGCCGCCGUAA
Molecule: ribosomal RNA, 500 nt
Filed under: uncultured bacterium
Lineage: Bacteria
Description: partial 16S ribosomal RNA
Rfam family: Bacterial small subunit ribosomal RNA
Source: RNAcentral